This 448-nucleotide ribosomal RNA is filed under the name uncultured bacterium. RNAcentral's name for it is "bacterial SSU rRNA". It matches the Rfam family "Bacterial small subunit ribosomal RNA", at positions 29 to 507 of the family's 1533-position model. The record is from RNAcentral.
AACGAACGCUGGCGGCAGGCCUAACACAUGCAAGUCGAACGAAGGCCCGGAGCUUGCUUCGGUGCCUUAGUGGCAGACGGGAUAGUAACGCGUGGGAAUUUGCCCAAUAGUACGGAAUAACUGCGGGAAACUGCAGCUAAUACCGUAUACGCCCUCCCGGGGGAAAGAGUUUAUCGCUAUUGGAUAAGCCCGCGUCGAAUUAGCUUGUUGGUGAGGUAAUGGCUCACCAAGGCGACGAUUCGUAGCUGGUCUGAGAGGACGAUCAGCAUCACUGGGACUGAGACACGGCCCAGACUCCUACGGGAGGCAGCAGUGGGGAAUAUUGGACAAUGGGCGCAAGCCUGAUCCAGCCAUGCCGCGUGUGUGAAGAAGGCCUUAGGGUUGUAAAGCACUUUCAGCAGGGAAGACGAUGACGGUACCUGCAGAAGAAGCCCCGGCCAACUCCGUG